This 1367-nucleotide long non-coding RNA is filed under the name Phocoena sinus (vaquita). RNAcentral's name for it is "lncRNA (ENSPSNG00000010225.1)". Lineage: Eukaryota; Metazoa; Chordata; Mammalia; Artiodactyla; Phocoenidae. The record is from RNAcentral.
UCCCUCCACCCUGGGUGGCCCCGGCUCGGACGGCUGUUCUCGGAGCGGGAUGGACGCCUCCUGGAUGCCGCCUCCUUCCGUCUGUGUCCGUCACCGCCUCGCUGGGGCUUCAGGCUCUGCCCGGAAGCUCGUGCUCACUGCUGCCCACACCUGCUACGGGACAGAUGGCUGGACACCAGGCCGGUCGGCCGGGCAAGGGCCUGGCAGGAUGGCGGCUCAGGUUGGCCCGUGGAUCGAAACGACGUCCCCACUCGAGAGGUUUCUUUGCAGCCACCUCUGCUCUCCCUGCCCCAGCAGCCGACCGGUGGCUCUUUCAGGGGCACGGCAUUGGGAGCAGGCCACACGCCAAAGGAGGUCACCUUGAGGAGGACUUGUUGUCUGAGGGAGACUGAUGUGGGACCUGUUCGCCAUGAUGGCUCACCCCAACUGUCCUUGUCGCUCACGGGGUCACAGCCGACUGUGGUUCUUGCAGCUUGCUGGGCGGCCGGUCAGGGUAACCUGAGGGCAGAAUUGACCCUGCAGAUUAGGUCCUGUGGGUGCCCAGCCCUCCUCCCCAGCCCCUUCUCCUCCAGGCCACCCUAGUGGGUCCUGUCCAUCUGCGCCUUCGGCUGCGGGAGGGGGCACCUGAGGGUUCCUCCAGAAGCUUCCUGAGUUCCCCCUGACCCUGGGCCCACCUCAUUGUCCUCUUCUGCCCUGUUCUCAGGUGAGAUGGAGGAGGGAGGUGGGGCCAGUGUGUGGCCAGGGGCCUGAGCAGCCACCCUACCUCUCCUCUCCCCUUCCCAGGUCGGAGGACAUUGAUGGACGUGGCCUGGGCAGGGCGGGGGUCCAGCGUGGCCGGGGGGGCCCCGCAGAGCCCCAUCGGUCACCCCGGCUCUGCCGGAGCCCCCGCUCCUCCGGUUGUGAGGGCCUUGUGCUCUGCUCAGCCAGCCACACGUGUGCAUGUGUAUAUGUGUAUCUGUGACUUUCCUUUGGAUUUGUUUCUGUGUUUCUGUAAAUCAGUCCCCAAAAUGUUAAGGCUUGCUGGGGGAGAGCAGUGGCCCACCCCUACCCCUGGGGGAGACAGAGGUCACAGCUCUUAAGGUCUUCUUCGGAGGGGCAGGCGGCUGAGCCUGCAUGAACUUGGGGAAGGGUGGGUCCCACCUCCUGGCCCAUCCCGGCUGCUUGCUGGGGACGGGCAGGGACGAGCAGGAACAGUGUACAUAGAUGUGUGUAUUCCGAUGGGUCCAGAUUUUAUUUUUGUUUGUUUGAGUUUUGUUGUGUUUUUUUUAAAUAAGAGCAGUCCUUUGUCUACCGCACGCCUGGCGCAGGUGAACCUCGCUCCUCCUGGAAUUCAGCAUCGCCGUCAUUAAACCAUGUGCGUCGUGCCC